This 61-nucleotide transfer RNA is filed under the name Albulina orbitula. RNAcentral's name for it is "Agriades orbitulus tRNA-Ser". The record is from RNAcentral. Lineage: Eukaryota; Metazoa; Arthropoda; Insecta; Lepidoptera; Lycaenidae.
GAAAUAUAUAAAAAUUAAACUUCUAAUUUAAUUUAUAGUGAUUUAUUUCAUUAAUAUUUCA